GGUUGGUCUGAUGUUAACGUGUUAUUGGUAUUAACUCUAGUGCCGCUAUAGUACAUAUAGGCCCCUCACUGAUAAGUUUGACUGGCUUUUU
Cricetulus griseus (Chinese hamster) is the source of this 91-nucleotide unclassified non-coding RNA. It matches the Rfam family "Y RNA". From Rfam's summary of the family: Y RNAs are components of the Ro ribonucleoprotein particle (Ro RNP), in association with Ro60 and La proteins. The Y RNAs and Ro60 and La proteins are well conserved, but the function of the Ro RNP is not known. The record is from Ensembl. Lineage: Eukaryota; Metazoa; Chordata; Mammalia; Rodentia; Cricetidae.